RNAcentral lists this ribosomal RNA (497 nucleotides) under uncultured bacterium. RNAcentral's name for it is "partial 16S ribosomal RNA". It matches the Rfam family "Bacterial small subunit ribosomal RNA", at positions 28 to 507 of the family's 1533-position model. The record is from RNAcentral.
GACGAACGCUGGCGGUGUGCCUAAUACAUGCAAGUUGAGCGCUGAAGGUUGGUACUUGUCCCAACUGGAUGAGCAGCGAACGGGUGAGUAACGCGUGGGGAAUCUGCCUUUGAGCGGGGGACAACAUUUGGAAACGAAUGCUAAUACCGCAUAAAAACUUUAAACACAAGUUUUAAGUUUGAAAGAUGCAAUUGCAUCACUCAAAGAUGAUCCCGCGUUGUAUUAGCUAGUUGGUGAGGUAAAGGCUCACCAAGGCGAUGAUACAUAGCCGACCUGAGAGGGGGAUCGGCCACAUUGGGACUGAGACACGGCCCAAACUCCUACGGGAGGCAGCAGUAGGGAAGCUUCGGCAAUGGACGAAAGUCUGACCGAGCAACGCCGCGUGAGUGAAGAAGGGUUUCGGAUCGUAAAACUCUGUUGGUAGAGAAGAACGUUGGUGAGAGUGGAAAGCUCAUCAAGUGACGGUAACUACCCAGAAAGGGACGGCUAACUACGUG